AUACGGAGGAUCCGAGCGUUAUCCGGAUUUAUUGGGUUUAAAGGGAGCGUAGGUGGACAGUUAAGUCAGUUGUGAAAGUUUGCGGCUCAACCGUAAAAUUGCAGUUGAUACUGGUUGUCUUGAGUACAGUAGAGGUGGGCGGAAUUCGUGGUGUAGCGGGGAAAUGCUUAGAUAUCACGAAGAACUCCGAUUGCGAAGGCAGCUCACUGGACUGCAACUGACACUGAUGCUCGAAAGUGUGGGUAUCAAACAGGAUUAGAUACCCUGGUAGUCCACACAGUAAACGAUGAAUACUCGCUGUUUGCGAUAUACAGUAAGCGGCCAAGUGAAAGCAUUAAGUAUUCCACCUGGGGAGUACGCCGGCAACGGUGAAACUCAAAUGAAUUGACGGGG
This 393-nucleotide ribosomal RNA is filed under the name uncultured bacterium. RNAcentral's name for it is "partial 16S ribosomal RNA". It matches the Rfam family "Bacterial small subunit ribosomal RNA", at positions 523 to 918 of the family's 1533-position model. The record is from RNAcentral.